AUUGAACGCUGGCGGCAGGCCUAACACAUGCAAGUCGAGCGGAUGAAGGGAGCUUGCUCCUGGAUUCAGCGGCGGACGGGUGAGUAAUGCCUAGGAAUCUGCCUGGUAGUGGGGGAUAACGUCCGGAAACGGGCGCUAAUACCGCAUACGUCCUGAGGGAGAAAGGGGGGGAUCUUCGAACCUCACGCUAUCAGAUGAGCCUAGGUCGGAUUAGCUAGUUGGUGGGGUAAAGGCCUACCAAGGCGACGAUCCGUAACUGGUCUGAGAGGAUGAUCAGUCACACUGGAACUGAGACACGGUCCAGACUCCUACGGGAGGCAGCAGUGGGGAAUAUUGGACAAUGGGCGAAAGCCUGAUCCAGCCAUGCCGCGUGUGUGAAGAAGGUCUUCGGAUUGUAAAGCACUUUAAGUUGGGAGGAAGGGCAGUAAGUUAAUACCUUGCUGUUUUGACGUUACCAACAGAAUAAGCACCGGCUAACUUCGUG
This 484-nucleotide ribosomal RNA is filed under the name uncultured bacterium. RNAcentral's name for it is "partial 16S ribosomal RNA". It matches the Rfam family "Bacterial small subunit ribosomal RNA", at positions 30 to 507 of the family's 1533-position model. The record is from RNAcentral.